CAGCGAUUCAACUACAGCUCCAGCCCCGGUCAGUUACUACAAAAUGGCUGCAGAGGAUUCGCCGCCGAGGAGAACAUACUGAUCGCUUCAUGCUGUGAGGUAAUUGAAACAAAGAGGAGGAUUAGCUGGUUUGACACAGAGGUGAAGAAAAGCAAGGAGCUGCUCCAUCAAAGGCCACAGAACAGAUAACCAAAGACGCAUGUGUGCCAGUUAUUCACUGCUCCACUGCGCACACAGGGGAUGGCGGCCAGCAGCAAAGCACAGCUCUUUGAAACUCAUA
Molecule: long non-coding RNA, 280 nt
Organism: Periophthalmus magnuspinnatus
Lineage: Eukaryota; Metazoa; Chordata; Actinopteri; Gobiiformes; Gobiidae
Exons: 4
Source: RefSeq, a predicted model, not a curated record